CCCUUAGAUGUUCUGGGCGGCCCGCGCACUACAUUGGCACUGGCAACAAGGUCCUAGAUCUGAUAUUUCGGGGUAUUCUACCAACUGGUGUCGUGACUGGGAUUAACCCCUGCAAUUAUUGGUUAUGAACGAGGAAUUCCUUGUAAUCACGGUUUAUCAACCCGUGUUGAAUGCGUCCCUGCCCUUUGUACACACCGCCCGUCGCUCCUACCGAUGAAUCGUCCGGUGAAGUUCAUGGAGUCGCGGCUGCUCCAGCUGUUUUCGAAGUGAAAUGGACCUCAUGAUUUAGAGGAAGGAGAAGUCGUAACA
Molecule: ribosomal RNA, 309 nt
Filed under: uncultured eukaryote
Lineage: Eukaryota
Description: partial 18S ribosomal RNA
Rfam family: Eukaryotic small subunit ribosomal RNA
Source: RNAcentral